Vicia faba (fava bean) is the source of this 376-nucleotide non-coding RNA. The record is from the annotation of a GenBank genome assembly. Lineage: Eukaryota; Viridiplantae; Streptophyta; Magnoliopsida; Fabales; Fabaceae.
UCACCCAGAUGACGGUAUGCCGAAAUGAGUUAGAAAGUUGACUAAUGAAGUCCAUAGCAAGGUAUUCCCAUACUUGGUUUGGUGUGGGUAAUGGCUGAAGUGGACCUUUUUUUUUAGUCAAGUAUUUUUUUUGAUGAAAUGUUUGACAACAAGGUGGAUUCCCGACCAAGAGAAUGACUGGAAGAUUCUGGAAACAAGCUUUUACUCUGGAGUGUCUAGUUGUCGAGGUAGUGUGGUAUUCUAGAAGAAUGGAGCUGCGAAAGCUAAGGAUAUCAGACGGGCGAGGCUUGCAAACAGGGAGACAUCUUUUUACUGAAGAAAGAAAUGUGAUGACCUUAUUGAGAAAGAACAACACCAAUAGCAACCCCAAAAGCAU